Molecule: ribosomal RNA, 183 nt
Filed under: uncultured Actinomycetes bacterium
Lineage: Bacteria; Bacillati; Actinomycetota; Actinomycetes
Description: uncultured actinobacterium partial 16S ribosomal RNA
Rfam family: Bacterial small subunit ribosomal RNA
Source: RNAcentral
GCUGGCGGCGUGCUUAACACAUGCAAGUCGAGCGCGAAAGCACCUUCGGGUGUGAGUAGAGCGGCGAACGGGUGCGUAACACGUGAGUAAUCUGCCUCAGGGUCGGGGAUAACCACCCGAAAGGGUGUUGUAAUACCGGAUACGAUCCCUUCCUCGCAGGGGGAGGGGGGGAAAGAGGGCUUC